CGUUAGCGGCGGACGGGUGAGUAACACGUGGGUAACCUACCUAUAAGACUGGGAUAACUUCGGGAAACCGGAGCUAAUACCGGAUAANAUUUCGAACCGCAUGGUUCGAUAGUGAAAGAUGGUUUUGCUAUCACUUAUAGAUGGACCUGCGCCGUAUUAGCUAGUUGGUAAGGUAACGGCUUACCAAGGCGACGAUACGUAGCCGACCUGAGAGGGUGAUCGGCCACACUGGAACUGAGACACGGUCCAGACUCCUACGGGAGGCAGCAGCC
Molecule: ribosomal RNA, 272 nt
Filed under: uncultured Staphylococcus sp.
Lineage: Bacteria; Bacillati; Bacillota; Bacilli; Caryophanales; Staphylococcaceae
Description: partial 16S ribosomal RNA
Rfam family: Bacterial small subunit ribosomal RNA
Source: RNAcentral